AAUUAUUUAGGCUCAAAAGAGUUUUGUUGGUUUAGGAAAUGAAUUAGAAGACAAUGGAUGUAAUUUGGCUAAGGAUUCAAAAGCCGAACUAACACAAUAGUAGUGUGUUAACCCGUAACUUAUGAGAAUGCUUAGGUUGGUAAGGUGUCAAUGGAAGGUUUGUUAAGUGGAUAGAAACUUCGACCCGCUAUCAAAAAUGAUAGGAACCUCAGUACGAAUCGAACGCCACACUUUCGGGAUUAAAGUGAUAAGUUUGGAUAGAAAGACGGGUUGACGCCACAAGGGUUACUUGAUAAGUCAGACGAGUCUUUGGAGAACAAUGAGAGUUGAAAACAAACUCACAAAGUAAUCAGAUUUCAUAUAAAGUUUAAAAGUAUAU
RNAcentral lists this long non-coding RNA (379 nucleotides) under Gossypium barbadense (sea-island cotton). RNAcentral's name for it is "long non-coding RNA (GBAR_LNC004380)". Lineage: Eukaryota; Viridiplantae; Streptophyta; Magnoliopsida; Malvales; Malvaceae. The record is from RNAcentral.